Molecule: unclassified non-coding RNA, 262 nt
Filed under: plant metagenome
Description: partial contains small subunit ribosomal RNA, internal transcribed spacer 1, and 5.8S ribosomal RNA
Source: RNAcentral
UCUCCGUUGGUGAACCAGCGGAGGGAUCAUUACCGAGUUUACAACUCCCAGACCCAAUGUGAACGUUACCAAACUGUUGCCUCGGCGGGAUCUCUGCCCCGGGUGCGUCGCAGCCCCGGACCAAGGCGCCCGCCGGAGGACCAACCAAAACUCUUUAUGUAUACCCCCUCGCGGGUUUUUUUACAAUCUGAGCCAUCUCGGCGCCCCUCGUGGGCGUUUCGAAAAUGAAUCAAAACUUUCAACAACGGAUCUCUUGGUUCUG